Molecule: ribosomal RNA, 484 nt
Filed under: uncultured Actinomycetes bacterium
Lineage: Bacteria; Bacillati; Actinomycetota; Actinomycetes
Description: bacterial SSU rRNA
Rfam family: Bacterial small subunit ribosomal RNA
Source: RNAcentral
GUGCCAGCAGCCGCGGUAAUACGUAGGGGCCAAGCGUUGUCCGGAAUCAUUGGGCGUAAAGAGCUCGUAGGCGGCUCAGCGAAUCGGCCGUGAAAACCCGGAGCUCAACUCCGGGACGCCGGUCGAUACUGCUGUGGCUAGGGUCCGGUAGAGGAGAGUGGAAUUCCCGGUGUAGCGGUGAAAUGCGCAGAUAUCGGGAGGAGCACCAGUAGCGAAGGCGGCUCUCUGGGCCGGUACCGACGCUGAGGAGCGAAAGCGUGGGGAGCAAACAGGAUUAGAUACCCUGGUAGUCCACGCCGUAAACGUUGGGCACUAGGUGUGGCGGAUUGAUCAACGUCUGCCGUGCCGUAGCUAACGCGUUAAGUGCCCCGCCCUGGUGUGUGCCGCAAGGCUAAAACUCGUAAAAAUAUGUGAUGGUCCCCGCACAAGCGGCGGAGCAUGCGGCUUAAUUCGAUGCAACCCGAAGAACCUUACCUGGGUUUGA